UGGAGCUUAAAGAUUGAGUGAAUACCGUC
This 29-nucleotide non-coding RNA is filed under the name Homo sapiens (human). Lineage: Eukaryota; Metazoa; Chordata; Mammalia; Primates; Hominidae. The record is from RNAcentral.